Gossypium raimondii (Peruvian cotton) is the source of this 1774-nucleotide RNA transcript. RefSeq lists it as hypothetical. NCBI's taxonomy places the organism in Eukaryota, Viridiplantae, Streptophyta, Magnoliopsida, Malvales, Malvaceae. The record is from RefSeq and is a predicted model, not a curated record. The transcript is spliced from 12 exons.
AUGGCUCGGUUUGGAAUAAAACGGGACGUUGCGAGAUCGAUAAUGUUGAAUUUCAUUAACUUUGGUUUGGCUUUCAUAUUAGUUUCAGCUGAGAGAAGCUUGAAGAAUGGAGAAUCGAGCGAGGAAUCUAAAACGAAUGAUAAUUAUUUUGUCAAAGCUAUUCAUUUCUUAUGGAAACCUGAUCAAUCAGGUUAUCACCAUGUUUGGCCUGAAAUGGAAUUUAAUUGGCAAUCUGUGCUGGGAACUUGUAUUGGAUUUUGUGGGGCAGCGUUUGGGAGUGUAGGAGGGGUAGGUGGAGGUGGCAUUUUUGUUCCCAUGCUUAGCCUUAUUGUUGGGUUUGAUCCAAAGUCUGCAACAGCUAUUUCAAAAUGUAUGAUCAUGGGUGCAGCAGCUUCAACUGUUUACUACAACCUUAAGCUAAGGCACCCCACACUUGAUAUGCCUAUCAUUGAUUAUGAUUUGGCUCUUCUUAUCCAGCCAAUGCUCAUGCUUGGAAUUAGCAUAGGAGUCGCUUUUAAUGUGAUCUUUGCGGACUGGAUGGUCACAGUUUUACUUAUUAUUCUCUUUGUAGGAACAUCAACUAAGGCAUUCUUCAAGGGUGUCGAAACAUGGAAAAAGGAAACCAUACUGAAGCAGGAGGCAGCCAGGCGCUUGGAAUCAAAUGGUACUAGUAGUGAAAAUGUGGAUUACAGGCCUCUACCCAGUGGCCCAAACACUGUUCCUCCGAAGGAUAGCACAGACCAAAAAGUCACUGUUUUGGACAACGUUUGCUGGAAAGAACUUGGGCUUCUUUGUUUUGUUUGGUUUGCAUUCCUUGUACUGCAGAUUUCCAAGAACCAUACAACUACUUGUUCUGUAGGGUAUUGGGUGUUGAACUUGUUGCAGAUCCCAGUUUCAGUCGCAGUAUCUGCAUAUGAGGCAGUUAGUCUCUACAAAGGAAAUAGAGCAAUUGCAUCCAAGGAGAACAAGGCUCAAAUUUUCAAGCGCAUCAGCUUGUUAGUUACUGUUUUUUCGGAGUACUAGCCGGGAUUGUUGGUGGUCUACUUGGCCUGGGUGGAGGAUUUAUCAUGGGUCCACUAUUCUUGGAGUUAGGUAUCCCCCCUCAGGUCUCAAGUGCCACAGCAACCUUUGCCAUGACUUUCUCUUCAUCUAUGUCAGUCGUAGAAUAUUACCUUCUGAAACGUUUUCCAGUACCUUAUGCUCUCUACUUCACUGCUGUGGCUACUUUUGCUGCCUUUGUUGGACAACAUGUCGUGAGAAGGCUGAUAAUUGUAUUUGGAAGGGCAUCUUUGAUUAUCUUCAUUCUAGCAUUCACCAUAUUCGUUAGCGCAGUAUCACUAGGUGGCGUUGGCAUAUCAAACAUGAUUGACAAGAUUCAUCAUAAUGAAUAUAUGGGAUUCGAGAACCUCUGCAAGUAUGAAAGCUAGCACUUUAGGCUUUCUUCUUCUGUUUUUUCCUCAUAUUACCCUAGUGUUUUUCCCUCAAAGGCAAGCAAUAAAAUUGCCCUUGUAUUUGUUUCAUUCUUUGGGUUGUAGGCAAGAAAGAUACCAAUGAUUUCGAUAGUUUUAGCCAUAGCUUUGUUUUUAGGCUAAAUGGGGUAGCGUGAGUCUCGAACUUUAGCAAUUCCCGAAAGUAUUAACGAGUACUCAACCAACUUAUAUUUGCCAAUUGUUUUUUCACUUUCCAUGUUGUAAUUUUGUAUUAUUGGAAGUUCCUGGUUCUUUGUCCUUGCUGGUGUCAAAAGACCUACAUAUUCAAGACAACCUUUUACUCU